GAGUGAUGGGCUCGAAGCUAACGCGAUAAAUCGACGCUGGGAGUACGGCCGCAAGGUUAAAACUCAAAUGAAUUGACGGGGGCCCGCACAAGCGGUGGAGCAUGUGGUUUAAUUCGAUGCAACGCGAAGAACUUUACCUGGUCUUGACAUCCAUAGAAUUCUGCAGAGAUGUGGGAGUGCUUCGGGAACUAUGAGACAGGUGCUGCAUGGCUGUCGUCAGCUCGUGUUGUGAAAUGUUGGGUUAAGUCCCGCAACGAGCGCAACCCUUAUUCUUUGUUGCCAGCGAUUUGGUCGGGAACUCAAAGGAGACUGCCGUUGAUAAAGCGGAGGAAGGUGGGGACGACGUCAAGUCAUCAUGGCCCUUACGACCAGGGCUACACACGUGCUACAAUGGCGUAUACAAAGGGAAGCGAAGGUGCGAGCUGGAGCGGAUCUCAUAAAGUACGUCUAAGUUCGGAUUGGAGUCUGCAACUCGACUCCAUGAAGUCGGAAUCGCUAGUAAUCGUAGAUCAGAAUACUACGGUGAAUACGUUCCCGGGCCUUGUACACACUGCCCGUCACACCAUGGGAGUGGGUUGCACCAGAAGUAGAUAGCUUAACCGCGAGGGGGGCGUUUACCACGGUGUGAUUCAUGACUGGGGUGAAGUCGUAACAAGGUAACCA
RNAcentral lists this ribosomal RNA (663 nucleotides) under uncultured Enterobacteriaceae bacterium. RNAcentral describes it as "bacterial SSU rRNA". It matches the Rfam family "Bacterial small subunit ribosomal RNA", at positions 835 to 1502 of the family's 1533-position model. The record is from RNAcentral. Lineage: Bacteria; Pseudomonadati; Pseudomonadota; Gammaproteobacteria; Enterobacterales; Enterobacteriaceae.